CGAAAACUUUACUUCCUGUUCUUGUGAAGUGGUGAUCCUGGUGUGGGCAGUUUGGCACUGACUACUUUACAUAACACACACCUUUAACAGCCUGCUGGGUGUAACUUUCUCAUGUCUCCUCCUGGUUGUGUAGUUUGAUGAGUGGGCGCCCCCUAGUGUCAGAAACAAAUGAGUGCAGCUUUAAUGUUGUCUUCAGAUUUAGACAUGAAAUAAUUGUUUGAAUGACAACAGACCUUUGACCUGCUCUGUGUGUGUGUGUGUGUGUGUGUGUGUGUGUGUGUGUGUGUGUGUGUGUGUGUGUGUGUGGUUCCUCUGACAGGGUGAAGAUGGUCUCCAGGUUCCUGCUGCUCAUGGCUCUGAGCGUCUGUGUCUCUGGUUGGUUUCCACCUUCACUUUCUUCUCCACAAAGAGAAAAGAGGAGAUCCACUUUGAGACUGACUGAAACACUUGAACACUUCCAUUAGAAAAGAUGUUGAAAGACUCACAUGUUCCUGUGUUUUUCUGCUCCUCUCUUUCCCUCUCUGUCUCCUCUACAGGAACACUUGUAGUCAAGGUGGCUCACAGCUCCUAUCAGACAGAAGUGGACCAGGACCUCACCCUGGAGUGGACCUUCACACCCAGACCUGACAGCUCUCUGAAAAAUCUCGAUAUCUUCUGUUACAUGUUCAACAAUCAGAAAUACUCAGUCCUGUUUGAGCUUCGUAAAGGUGUGGAGGUCCCAGAGGCUCAGGCUAAAGAGUUGGUAGGGCGAGUCCAGUGUGACAAAGAGGUCCUCAGAGAGGGACUGAUCAGACUUCAUGUGUCCUCACUCAGGACUGAAGACUCAGGCUGGUCUCAGUGUAAAGUAAUCACAGAAUAUGGGAACAGCUUGGACAUAUGUCAUGUCAGUGUGACUGGUGAGUUGAUUUAUUCUUUAGCAGAACUUUAAAAAGUUUCUUCUCCACAAAGAGAAAAGAGGAGAUCCACUUUGAGACUGACUGAAACACUUGAACACUUCCAUUAGAAAAGAUGUUGAAAGACUCACAUGUUCCUGUGUUUUUCUGCUCCUCUCUUUCCCUCUCUGUCUCCUCUACAGGAACACUUGUAGUCAAAGUGGCUCACAGAUCCUAUGAGGCACAGGAGGACCAGGACAUCACCCUGGAGUGGACCUUCACACCCAAACCUCACAGCUCUCUGCAGACUCUGAACAUUUUCUGUGGUAUGUUCAGUGGUAAGAAAAACUCAGUCCUGUUUGAGCUUCAUGAAGGAGUGGAGGUCCCACAGAAGGAGGGAGACUUUGUAGGUCGAGUCCAGUGUGACAAAGAGGUCCUCAAAGAGGGACAGAUCAGACUUCAUGUGUCCUCACUCAGGACUGAAGACUCAGGAUUCUAUCAGUGUGGAGUCAAGACAGAGUAUGGGAGCAACUUGGACAAAUGUUUUCUCUUUGUGUCCGGUGAGUUGAUUAAUUUCUCAGCAGAACUUUAAAAAGACGUUCAGUUCAGUUUCUGUUUGUUUUUGGAUCCAGAAGAAUCUGAGAUUAAAGUAUCAUUGAGGUUUUUAUGGACCUGUUCCUGUUGAUCUCUUGUGUUUGUUUAUUCUUCUCCUUAAUGAAUCUAACCUUUUGGUCUCUCUCUAGGAAAGAGCGAUGCCCUUUUUGGAGGGAUAAUGUUGGCAACACCAGCAGUCAUCGGUUUGCUCUGUGUUUUUUUCUUUUUCUCCAAAUGUCUGUUACGUGGAUUACAACGUGUCUACCGCUCCUUCCAAAAAGACAGACCCCCCCAGUCUAUCAGAGUCCAGCCUGAAGGCCUCAGCUCCCUCCAAACCAGGGCAGUCAUAUAAGGAGAAGAGAGAGAAACUGAACUCUGAACCUCAAUACCAGAUCAUAAUUAAUGAAAUGACUUAUUUUGAUGUUUGAAGAUUGAUGGAUUGUGUUGAUGUGUUGGUGUUUUAGAGACCUGAGUUGAACCUGAUUUGAUCUGUACAACCCACAGCAGCUGUAAAUAAAUCUUGUGGAGAACUUC
This 2000-nucleotide long non-coding RNA is filed under the name Xyrichtys novacula (pearly razorfish). The record is from RNAcentral. Lineage: Eukaryota; Metazoa; Chordata; Actinopteri; Labriformes; Labridae.